UACGUAGGGGGCAAGCGUUGUCCGGAAUCAUUGGGCGUAAAGCGCGUGUAGGCGGUCCGGUAAGUCCGCUGUGAAAGUCGGGGGCUCAACCCUCGGAUGCCGGUGGAUACUGUCGUGCUUGAGUACGGAAGAGGCGAGUGGAAUUCCUGGUGUAGCGGUGAAAUGCGCAGAUAUCAGGAGGAACACCAAUUGCGAAGGCAGCUCGCUGGGACGUUACUGACGCUGAGACGCGAAAGCGUGGGGAGCAAACAGG
Molecule: ribosomal RNA, 253 nt
Filed under: uncultured bacterium
Lineage: Bacteria
Description: partial 16S ribosomal RNA
Rfam family: Bacterial small subunit ribosomal RNA
Source: RNAcentral